Molecule: ribosomal RNA, 429 nt
Filed under: Chloroflexota bacterium
Lineage: Bacteria; Bacillati; Chloroflexota
Description: Chloroflexi bacterium partial 16S ribosomal RNA
Rfam family: Bacterial small subunit ribosomal RNA
Source: RNAcentral
UGGGGAAUAUUGCACAAUGGGCGCAAGCCUGAUGCAGCCAUGCCGCGUGUGUGAAGAAGGCCUUCGGGUUGUAAAGCACUUUCAGCGGGGAGGAAGGCGAUAAGGUUAAUAACCUUGUCGAUUGACGUUACCCGCAGAAGAAGCACCGGCUAACUCCGUGCCAGCAGCCGCGGUAAUACGGAGGGUGCAAGCGUUAAUCGGAAUUACUGGGCGUAAAGCGCACGCAGGCGGUCUGUCAAGUCGGAUGUGAAAUCCCCGGGCUUAACCUGGGAACUGCAUUCGAAACUGGCAGGCUAGAGUCUUGUAGAGGGGGGUAGAAUUCCAGGUGUAGCGGUGAAAUGCGUAGAGAUCUGGAGGAAUACCGGGGGCGAAGGCGGCCCCCUGGACAAAGACUGACGCUCAGGUGCGAAAGCGUGGGGAGCAAACAGG